This 250-nucleotide ribosomal RNA is filed under the name uncultured bacterium. RNAcentral's name for it is "partial 16S ribosomal RNA". It matches the Rfam family "Bacterial small subunit ribosomal RNA", at positions 524 to 773 of the family's 1533-position model. The record is from RNAcentral.
UACGUAGGGGGCGAGCGUUGUCCGGAUUUACUGGGCGUAAAGCGCGUGUAGGUGGGCCGGUAAGUCGGGUGUGAAAGCCCGGGGCUCAACCCCGGGACGCCGCCCGAAACUGGCGGCCUUGAGGCCGGAAGAGGGGAGUGGAAUUCCUGGUGUAGCGGUGAAAUGCGUAGAGAUCAGGAGGAACACCCGUGGCGAAGGCGGCUCCCUGGUCCGGCCCUGACGCUGAGACGCGAAAGCGUGGGGAGCGAAC